GUGUGAUGAAAUGAUUGAAGCUGUUAAUUUUCUCCUUGAUAAUACUUAUGUACGUUUCGGCAACAAAGUUUAUCGACAGGUUAUAGGUAUCCCCAUGGGCACUAAUUGUGUCCCUUUAAUAGCAGACUUGUUUUUGUACUGUUACGAAUCACAGUUUAUGACUAAACUCAGUAAAGACCCGUCGAAAUUGCAUUUAAUUGAUAAAUUCAACAACAC
This 216-nucleotide long non-coding RNA is filed under the name Mytilus galloprovincialis (Mediterranean mussel). Lineage: Eukaryota; Metazoa; Mollusca; Bivalvia; Mytilida; Mytilidae. The record is from RNAcentral.